AUGGUCAUACCAUGCUGAAUAUACCGGUUCUCGUUAGAUCACCGAAGUCAAGCAUCAUUGGGCGCGGUCAGUACUUGGGUGGGC
Molecule: non-coding RNA, 84 nt
Organism: Caerostris darwini
Lineage: Eukaryota; Metazoa; Arthropoda; Arachnida; Araneae; Araneidae
Source: the annotation of a GenBank genome assembly